AGAGGCUUAGGAUAAUCUUUAAAACCAAGAGCCUUCAAAGCUCUCAAUAAGGGCUAAAACCCUUAGCCCCUG
Molecule: transfer RNA, 72 nt
Filed under: Anniella pulchra
Lineage: Eukaryota; Metazoa; Chordata; Lepidosauria; Squamata; Anniellidae
Description: tRNA-Trp
Rfam family: tRNA
About the family: Transfer RNA (tRNA) molecules are approximately 80 nucleotides in length. Their secondary structure includes four short double-helical elements and three loops (D, anti-codon, and T loops).
Source: RNAcentral